GCUUGUCUCAAAGAUUAAGCCAUGCACGUCAAGUAUAAAUUUUACAUUGUGAAACUGCGAACGUCUCAUUAUAUCAGUUAUAGUUUAUUUGAUAGUCCCUUACUCCUUGAAUAACCGUAGUAAUUCUAGAGCUAAUACAUACAUCAAUAGCCUUCUCGGGUAGUAUUAUUAGAUUGAAACCAACCCCUUUGGGGUGAUGUGGUGAUUCAUAAUAAGUAUACAAAUCGCAUGACUUUGUCUGCAAUGGAUCAUUCAAGUUUCUGUCCUAUCAGCUUUUGAUGGUAGGGUAUUGGCCUACCAUGGCUUUAACCUAACGGAGUAUUAGGGUUUGAUUCCGGAGAGGGAACCUGAGAGACGGCCUACCACAUCCAAGGAAGGCAGCAGG
RNAcentral lists this ribosomal RNA (385 nucleotides) under Gomphonema affine. RNAcentral describes it as "partial small subunit ribosomal RNA". It matches the Rfam family "Eukaryotic small subunit ribosomal RNA", at positions 30 to 432 of the family's 1831-position model. The record is from RNAcentral. Lineage: Eukaryota; Bacillariophyta; Bacillariophyceae; Cymbellales; Gomphonemataceae.